RNAcentral lists this ribosomal RNA (497 nucleotides) under uncultured bacterium. Its description in RNAcentral is "partial 16S ribosomal RNA". It matches the Rfam family "Bacterial small subunit ribosomal RNA", at positions 28 to 507 of the family's 1533-position model. The record is from RNAcentral.
GAUGAACGCUGGCGGCGUGCCUAAUACAUGCAAGUCGAGCGAACAGAUGAGGAGCUUGCUCCUCUGACGUUAGCGGCGGACGGGUGAGUAACAUGUGGAUAACCUACCUAUAAGACUGGGAUAACUUCGUGAAACCGGAGCUAAUACCGGAUAAUAUAUUGAACCGCAUGGUUCAAUAGUGAAAGACGGUUUUGCUGUCACUUAUAGAUGGAUCCGCGCUGCAUUAGCUAGUUGGUAAGGUAACGGCUUACCAAGGCAACGAUGCGUAGCCGACCUGAGAGGGUGAUCGGCCACACUGGAACUGAGACACGAUCCAGACUCCUACGGGAGGCAGCAGUAGGGAAUCGUCCGCGAUGGGCGAAAGCCUGCAGGAGCAACGCCGCGUGAGUGAUGAAGGGCUGCGGAUCGUAUAACUCUGUUAUUAGGGAAGACCAAAUGUGUAAGUAACUAUGCACGUCUUGACGGUACCUAAUCAGAAAGCCACGGCUAACUACGUG